CGGGCAGUAGCUCAGUGGGAGCUCCCGCUUCGUACGCGGAAAGACCUGGGUUCGAUUCCCGGUUGCUUAC
This 70-nucleotide transfer RNA is filed under the name Toxocara canis (dog roundworm). It matches the Rfam family "tRNA". From Rfam's summary of the family: Transfer RNA (tRNA) molecules are approximately 80 nucleotides in length. Their secondary structure includes four short double-helical elements and three loops (D, anti-codon, and T loops). Lineage: Eukaryota; Metazoa; Nematoda; Chromadorea; Rhabditida; Toxocaridae. The record is from Rfam by way of RNAcentral.